UACGUAGGGGGCGAGCGUUGUCCGGAUUUACUGGGCGUAAAGAGCGCGUAGGCGGAAAUUUAAGCGUGGCCUGAAAGCCCCCGGCUCAACCGGGGAGUGCGGCUGCGAACUGGGUUUCUUGAGGACGAUAGAGGAGAGUGGAAUUCCUGGUGUAGCGGUGAAAUGCGUAGAUAUCUGGAGGAACACCGGUGGCGAAGGCGACAUCCUGGACCGGUAUUGACGCUGAGGCGCGAAAGCCAGGGGAGCAAACGGG
Molecule: ribosomal RNA, 253 nt
Filed under: uncultured bacterium
Lineage: Bacteria
Description: partial 16S ribosomal RNA
Rfam family: Bacterial small subunit ribosomal RNA
Source: RNAcentral